AUACGUAGGGUGCGAGCGUUGUCCGGAAUUACUGGGCGUAAAGAGCUCGUAGGUGGUUUGUCGCGUCGUCUGUGAAAUUCCGGGGCUUAACUCCGGGCGUGCAGGCGAUACGGGCAUAACUUACGAACUGUAGGGGAGACUGGAAUUCCUGGUGUAGCGGUGAACUGCGCAGAUAUCAGGAGGAACACCGGUGGCGAAGGCGGGUCUCUGGGCAGUAACUGACGCUGAGGAGCGAAAGCAUGGGUAGCGAACGGGAUUAGAUACCCUGGUAGUCCAUGCCGUAAACGGUGGGCGCUAGGUGUAGGGGUCUUCCACGACUUCUGUGCCGUAGCUAACGCAUUAAGCGCCCCGCCUGGGGGGUACGGCCGCAAGGCUAAAACUUAAAGGAAUUGACGGGG
This 398-nucleotide ribosomal RNA is filed under the name uncultured bacterium. Its description in RNAcentral is "partial 16S ribosomal RNA". It matches the Rfam family "Bacterial small subunit ribosomal RNA", at positions 523 to 918 of the family's 1533-position model. The record is from RNAcentral.